Molecule: ribosomal RNA, 446 nt
Filed under: uncultured bacterium
Lineage: Bacteria
Description: SSU rRNA
Rfam family: Bacterial small subunit ribosomal RNA
Source: RNAcentral
AGAACGAACGCUGGCGGCAUGCCUAACACAUGCAAGUCGAACGAGACCUUCGGGUCUAGUGGCGCACGGGUGCGUAACGCGUGGGAAUCUGCCCUUAGGUACGGAAUAACUCAGGGAAACUUGUGCUAAUACCGUAUGAUGUCGAGAGACCAAAGAUUUAUCGCCUAGGGAUGAGCCCGCGUAGGAUUAGCUAGUUGGUGGGGUAAAGGCCUACCAAGGCUACGAUCCUUAGCUGGUCUGAGAGGAUGAUCAGCCACACUGGGACUGAGACACGGCCCAGACUCCUACGGGAGGCAGCAGUGGGGAAUAUUGGACAAUGGGCGAAAGCCUGAUCCAGCAAUGCCGCGUGAGUGAAGAAGGCCUUCGGGUUGUAAAGCUCUUUUACCCGGGAAGAUAAUGACUGUACCGGGAGAAUAAGCCCCGGCUAACUCCGUGCCAGCAGCCGC